CUUAAAUUCCGCGUAAACAUCUCCAGUUCCAUCAAACCACAUCCAGAUCUUCAGAGAUCUCUCUCUCUCACACACACCACACACACACACACACAUCAGGACUCGGUGGGUAUGUUAGUGCAUGUGGGCGGACGUCGUGUCACGUCAGAAAUAUGGAACGAUUGACUAAUGAUAGGAAUUUCCAGUGAGUCAGAUUCGACAAUAAGAGACAAUGAGAGUCGAAUCUUUUGAUUUGUUUCGUGAAACCGUUCUCUUGCGUAUGUUUGGGGCUCGUUCGCAGAACAUGUUGCCGAUGCUUAGAACGUUCACGCAUUCAUUGACCCUUUCUUUUUCUCCCCCCAGACACUGGACAUCGAUCCUUUUAAUUGAGAACAUGUGGAGAAGCUGGAGGACAAGAACCAGAACUCCAUCUGUUGCAUGUUACAAACACACACACACACACACAUACACACACACGCACAAAUACUUUCUAGAACUAUUGAUUUACACCAAGAAGCUGGAGGUGCUUUUAAUAAGGCCCAAAAGUCCCUGGAUUUCUUACAGUAAUUGGCCGUAGAGGAACAAGACGAUGUAACCCAUGGCAACCCAGCGGAGAACGGCGUCAUUCACCUUAAAAUCAGAAACAGCAGAGGAGCAGGAGGAGAGAGAAAGAGAUGGUCAGAUCUGCAGGGGCUUCAGGAAGAGCGCAUGGUGCCUGCUGAACCUCAGUUCAACUCAUUGUGUGUCCUGAACUCCGACGAGAACCUGCAGGAGCUACCAGGAGAAUGCAGAAGGAAUGCAGAAGAGAGCACACAUCCUACAGGGAACAAUUCCAUUCCAGACCUCAGCAUGGACAACUAAUCCUGUCUGAGUAAAGCUCUGGAUCCCAACCUGCUGCCCACUCCUGAACUGUUAAACACCAGAGUGUGCUCACUGAAGAGAGCAAGGAGAGAAAAGACAAAGGAGAAGAUCACAAAGACGAGAGUAAAACGAGUGGAAAGUGUCAGAAGAGUGAAGGAAAGUGUGUAAUGUGUGUGUGAGAGAGAGAGAGAGAGAGAGAGAGAGAGAGAGAGAGUCUGUAAUGAGCUCCUAAGGGAAAGCAGACAUGUCUGAUGUAGUAGAUAUUCAGAAUCUAACACACACACACACACACACACACACACACACACACACACACACACACACACACACCAUCAUCAGCUUCAUAGAAGUUCAGAUGGCCAGACUUUCCCAUCAUACACACGUCUGUUCUCCUGAUACUCUUUAACCCAUUCUCUCUUUCUUUUUAUUUUCUCUUUCCAUUUUGUCCUUUCCUUCAUUCUACCCCAUCUUUCUUCCUUCCUUCCAUCCUUUCAUCCAUCCAUCCAUCCCCACUGUAUCCCUUAUCUGUUCGUUAUAUUUCUCGUCUCGUCUCACGUUUCUUCCUUCAUCUUUCUGUCACGAUUUCUUUUCUUACGCUCCCUUGUCCUCCCUUUCUCUCCUCCACACAAUCUUUGUCUUUCUUUCUAUCUUUCUUUCUUUCUCUUUGAUCAGUAAACGGUCAUUUGUAUGGAAUUAGUGAAACUAGUUCACUGUAUCUAACUGCUGUGUGUGUGUAUAAGUGGACUUGGUUUAUUGCAUUUCUC
Long non-coding RNA from Ictalurus punctatus (channel catfish), 1604 nucleotides. Lineage: Eukaryota; Metazoa; Chordata; Actinopteri; Siluriformes; Ictaluridae. The record is from Ensembl.